UAACAUGGGUUUCCAAUGGAGUUUUCUUUCAAAUCCUCUCAAACUUCUUUAAACUUCUUCAACUUCCAAAUCCUUCUUCUUCCUCAAUCUUUCAGCUAGAGCCACCAUUUAAACUUUAAAAUGUUGACAAAACCCUAAACUAUUUUUAGAUAAUUCAGCUUUUUGAUAUCUAUUCACCUUUUUUCAAUAUCACUGAUUAUGUUUCAUGACUUUUUCAAGCCGUUUCUGAGAUUUACAUGGGUGUUUACGUGAAACCCUAGAGUGCAGACUGAAAUGCUUAGAGUGGAGGGCAGCUUCGGAUGUCGUUGAAAAAAUAUUUAUAGUUUGCCAGCAUUGCCACAAUUUUUGCUCUUCAUGCUUCAUUUUUGGAUCAAUAGAUAGCUAAUUUUGUGCUGGUCGUAGACAGUUGUCUGUUAAAUCCAACAGACGUACACAUUUGUUCAGAGCCCCACGAAAGCGAGACAAAGUCCAACUCUCGCCCCAUAGAGACCAAUGCAAAUCUGGUGACAAAAUCAUCAGAGAAAGCAAAAAGAACAAGAUUUUGAAACUGCCGGUAGAGUCGUCUUUCUGACCGCGCAGACAUAUAAAGGACAUCUCUGGUUUCGGCAGAGGCUUGGGUCUCGGAAAAUAUCCUUAUUUUUUGGAUUGGACGUAUAGUUUUGCUUCUAGGUUAACUUGUUUGAGGUUUGGAUUCUAGCUUCAUUUCCGUUAUUCUCUCAGCACGUUAGCCAUCAUAGCUGCACCAUCACCGUGGCAACCACACAAUCACGCGCCACUCAGUCUCUUACACAGGUGAUUGGUAUUAGCUGAUUAGUCAGCUGAGUCACAAGACUGAGCUAUUCAGUCAACUCGUCUGCGCAUCAUUCCGUCCUGACGUCUUCUCUGGCUGACUCUGAAGAACCAUCACUGCUGGUGACUCCUAGGUGACUUCACAGUGUCCUGCUGUCCAGCAUCUCUCCUCUAUCACAUUGGCUCUCUAUCUCUCCUGUACCUUGUAUCCACUCUGUCUACACGUUGGCUCUCUGUCUCUCCUGUCACAUCUACCGCUCUGUCUUUUGCAUUUGGCAACUCACACUUUGUAUCCCCCUCUAUCCCACUCUGAUGUUGGUAAUCUUUGGCAAAUGAAUGGAACAAACUCUGGAGCCCUUUUUCUGAACUGAAUUUUGGACUAAACCUUGGUCACAAGGACCUGUCUGUUGGUUUGACUUGGGUUACCGGUACCCGAUCUAUCUGAUUUGAAUAAUCUGAGAGGCUUUCUUCUCUCACCCUCACCUCUUACCUCUCCUGUCUACAACUCAUACACUUAAAACACUUGCUGUUUUUACAACUUAGACUAAGCAUUUAUGCUAUUUCUGAGACUUUUUCCAACACAAUUGGUUUGAACAAAACUGAAAAGUUAAUUCAGAAACCGUAAAAGACAACACAUAACAUACACAUUUUGUUGUAAUUGAUUAUUGACAAGCUACAUUUCCAAAUGUAUAAUUUCUUAUGAAAGUUCAUCAUUAAAUUAACAUAAUUCAAGCUCUUGUUACUUCACAUAAAAAGCAAUUGUAGUAAAAGUCUAUAUUAUAAAAUAAGUUAAUUUCCUGAUCGUUGUUGCUUUGGAGAUCUGCUGUUCGUACCUAAAGUUUGGUUUGGUAGCAGAUAUCUUCGCUCUACAACUAACGUACAUUAUUUCAAUCAUUCACUGUAUAUGUGUGUUUAGUUGAUUUACUUUGUUCAUACUGAAAUAAAACAAAGCCAUCUAUAAGGAGGACGUGGAUUUGCCACGACAUCUCUUCCUGAUUUACAAUAUAAAACACUAGUAUUAUUAAGUUACUCUCUGCUGGUAAGUGCAAACAGUUGAGGAUCAGAUCACUGCUGAUAUUAGAUAACUGGUUGUGGAUUGAUGGAAAAUAUCUUCUUUAGUGUAAUUUAUACAAAACAGAUUGUGAUAUAAGUGGCUCGCUGUUAUAAACAAUUGGAAGCAACAUAGUUUGUUCAGUUGUGUGUCAGUGUCAAACUUUAGUUUUUACAUUGAGUACAUGAAAAAAUGUCCAGGUUUCUUUGAGAAAUAUCUUUUACAUAUUCAAUAUAAUCUGUUCCUUUAUUGAACCCCUUAUUCACGUACACUGCCCAGAAUAGACCCGAUCACAGUAUUUAUAGAAGUGCUUUGUUAAAAUUGUCAUAUACUGUAAUAAGGGUUCUUUUAUUUGUGUAUAAAAGCCUUAAUAUAAUACGUCUAAGGAAUAUAUACUGUCACUGAAUUUGACAUUCCAAGCAUUUGAUUAACAAGAACUAAAAUAUAUAAAUACCAUAGAGCACACACUUCACAUUUAUAUCCACAGACCAAGCCUUCUAGAGCAAC
Molecule: long non-coding RNA, 2347 nt
Organism: Osmerus eperlanus (European smelt)
Lineage: Eukaryota; Metazoa; Chordata; Actinopteri; Osmeriformes; Osmeridae
Exons: 4
Source: RefSeq, a predicted model, not a curated record